GCCCAGGUGGUGUAGUGGUUUGAUCACUGGACUGCAACUCUGAAGACCAGGGUUUGAUUCCCAGCUUGGCCA
Non-coding RNA from Phrynosoma platyrhinos (Desert horned lizard), 72 nucleotides. NCBI's taxonomy places the organism in Eukaryota, Metazoa, Chordata, Lepidosauria, Squamata, Phrynosomatidae. The record is from the annotation of a GenBank genome assembly.